RNAcentral lists this ribosomal RNA (301 nucleotides) under uncultured bacterium. Its description in RNAcentral is "partial 16S ribosomal RNA". It matches the Rfam family "Bacterial small subunit ribosomal RNA", at positions 509 to 809 of the family's 1533-position model. The record is from RNAcentral.
CAGUAGCCGCGGUAAUACGAAGGGUGCAAGCGUUAAUCGGAAUUACUGGGCGUAAAGCGUGCGUAGGCGGUUUGUUAAGUCUGCUGUGAAAUCCCCGGGCUCAACCUGGGAAUGGCAGUGGAUACUGGCAAGCUAGAGUGUGUCAGAGGAUGGUGGAAUUCCCGGUGUAGCGGUGAAAUGCGUAGAGAUCGGGAGGAACAUCAGUGGCGAAGGCGGCCAUCUGGGACAACACUGACGCUGAGGCACGAAAGCGUGGGGAGCAAACAGGAUUAGAUACCCGGGUAGUCCAUGUCUCUUAUAA